UGCUUCCCUCUGUUAACAAAAACAAAAAGUUUAGAUAUUUUAUUUGUAUUGUAGCUAUAAUUGGUCCGUCCGUUUCAGGGUAUCUGUCCAAAUAUGGAUAAUUCAGUCGACAACUUAAGCUUGAUGAAUAUGUUGAUAACUAGAAUAAUACAAAUGAACUUAAUUGUAGGUCCUCGUUAUAACACGUAUCAUGGUUCUGCAUGACGAUUUAUUCGAUAAACGGAUUUAUCUUUUAGGUCUAGGUACAUCGUCUUCGCUAAAAGCAAGAAAUGGACACAUACGAACAACAUAAUGUUAUCGCUUGGGUUGAAGUUUAAUUACUAUCUUGU
This is a long non-coding RNA of Arabidopsis thaliana (thale cress), 329 nucleotides long. RefSeq annotates it as other RNA. The record is from RefSeq. The transcript has a single exon. NCBI's taxonomy places the organism in Eukaryota, Viridiplantae, Streptophyta, Magnoliopsida, Brassicales, Brassicaceae.